RNAcentral lists this unclassified non-coding RNA (331 nucleotides) under soil metagenome. Its description in RNAcentral is "partial contains 5.8S ribosomal RNA, internal transcribed spacer 2, and large subunit ribosomal RNA". The stretch from base 1 to 120 matches the Rfam family "5.8S ribosomal RNA", at positions 35 to 154 of the family's 154-position model. The record is from RNAcentral.
GAUGAAGAACGUAGCAAAAUGCGAUAAGUAAUGUGAAUUGCAGAAUUCAGUGAAUCAUCGAAUCUUUGAACGCACAUUGCGCCCGCCAGUAUUCUGGCGGGCAUGCCUGUUCGAGCGUCAUUUCAACCCUCAAGCACAGCUUGGUGUUGGGACUCGCGUUAAUUCGCGUUCCCCAAAUUGAUUGGCGGUCACGUCGAGCUUCCAUAGCGUAGUAGUAAAACCCUCGUUACUGGUAAUCGUCGCGGCCACGCCGUUAAACCCCAACUUCUGAAUGUUGACCUCGGAUCAUGUAGGAAUACCCGCUGAACUUAAGCAUAUCAAUAAGCGGAGA